CCUACGGGUGGCUGCAGUGGGGAAUUUUGCGCAAUGGGCGAAAGCCUGACGCAGCAACGCCGCGUGGGUGAUGAAGGUCUUCGGAUCGUAAAACCCUGUCGUUGGGGACGAAGGUGGGGGCGUUAAUAGCGUUUCUGCUUGACGGUACCCGGAGAGGAAGCCCCGGCUAACUCUGUGCCAGCAGCCGCGGUAAUACAUAGGGGGCAAGCGUUAUGUGGAAUUAUUGGGCGUGAUGGUCGAGGACGCAGGUGAAAUCCCCGAGCUCAACCUGGGAACUGCAUUUGAGACUGGAAGGCUAGAGUACUGGAGAGGGUGGUGGAAUUCCUCGUGUAGCGGUGAAAUGCGUAGAGAUGAGGAGGAACACCAGUGGCGAAGGCGGCCACCUGGACAGUAACUGACGCUGAGGCGCGAAAGUGUGGGUAGCAAACAGGAUUAGAUACCCUGGUAGUC
Molecule: ribosomal RNA, 450 nt
Filed under: uncultured bacterium
Lineage: Bacteria
Description: partial 16S ribosomal RNA
Rfam family: Bacterial small subunit ribosomal RNA
Source: RNAcentral